AACGCACGAGACCUGCGGACCUGCGGAAGGAUCAUUAUUGAAUAUUCUUGAUGGGUUGUAGCUGGCUCUUCGGAGUAUGUGCACGCCUGUCUUGAUUUAAUUCAUCCACCUGUGCACCUUUUGUAGUCUUGGGGGUUGAGUGCAGUCGACUGUCGGACAUCUAUCCGGAUGUGAGGAUUGCUGAGUGCGGAAGCAUACGGCUCUCUUCAAACGACUUGCAAUCCCUCAAGUACUAUGUAU
This 240-nucleotide unclassified non-coding RNA is filed under the name soil metagenome. Its description in RNAcentral is "partial contains 5.8S ribosomal RNA, internal transcribed spacer 2, and large subunit ribosomal RNA". The record is from RNAcentral.